Molecule: ribosomal RNA, 253 nt
Filed under: uncultured bacterium
Lineage: Bacteria
Description: partial 16S ribosomal RNA
Rfam family: Bacterial small subunit ribosomal RNA
Source: RNAcentral
UACGUAGGGGGCAAGCGUUGUCCGGAUUUAUUGGGCGUAAAGCGCUCGCAGGUGGUCCGAUGCGUCGUGCGUGAAAGACCCCGGCUCAACUGGGGGGUGUCGUGCGAUACGGUCGGACUGGAGGCCAGUAGGGGGAUGCGGAAUUCCGGGUGUAGUGGUGGAAUGCGUAGAGAUCCGGAGGAACACCAGCGGCGAAGGCGGCUAUCUGGACAGAGUCUGACGCUGAGGCGCGAAAGCUAGGGGAGCAAACAGG